GAUGAACGCUGGCGGCGUGCCUAAUACAUGCAAGUCGAGCGAACAGACGAGGAGCUUGCUCCUCUGACGUUAGCGGCGGACGGGUGAGUAACACGUGGAUAACCUACCUAUAAGACUGGGAUAACUUCGGGAAACCGGAGCUAAUACCGGAUAAUAUAUUGAACCGCAUGGUUCAAUAGUGAAAGACGGUUUUGCUGUCACUUAUAGAUGGAUCCGCGCCGCAUUAGCUAGUUGGUAAGGUAACGGCUUACCAAGGCAACGAUGCGUAGCCGACCUGAGAGGAGGAGCGGCAACACUGGGACUGAGCCACGAGCGAGAGACCGCCGGCAGGGACCAGUCGGCAAGCGUCCGGGAUGGUCGCAAACCUUACGGAGCAAUGCUGCGGGAGUGAUAAAGGUGUUCGGAUCUUAACACUCUGUGAUCGUGGCAAAACAAAUGGCCACGGAACACUGCACGCCAGCACGGUCCCUAAUCAGAAAGCCGCGCCUCGCUAAUUC
RNAcentral lists this ribosomal RNA (497 nucleotides) under uncultured bacterium. Its description in RNAcentral is "partial 16S ribosomal RNA". It matches the Rfam family "Bacterial small subunit ribosomal RNA", at positions 28 to 503 of the family's 1533-position model. The record is from RNAcentral.